Molecule: ribosomal RNA, 377 nt
Filed under: uncultured bacterium
Lineage: Bacteria
Description: bacterial SSU rRNA
Rfam family: Bacterial small subunit ribosomal RNA
Source: RNAcentral
GACGAACCGUGCGAACGUUAUUCGGAAUCACUGGGCUUAAAGCGCGUGUAGGCGGGACGGCACGUCGGUCGCUGAAAUCCCCCGGCUCAACCGGGGAACGGGCGCCGAUACGACCGUCCUGGAGGGACGUAGGGGGACCUGGAACUUCCGGUGGAGCGGUGAAAUGCGUUGAGAUCGGAAGGAACGCCCGUGGCGAAAGCGAGGUCCUGGACGUUUUCUGACGCUGAGACGCGAAAGCCAGGGGAGCGAACGGGAUUAGAUACCCCGGUAGUCCUGGCCGUAAACGAUGGGCACUGGGUAGGGGGCUCGCCGAUGGGCUCCCUGCCGUAGGGAAACCGUGAAGUGCCCCGCCUGGGGAGUAUGGUCGCAAGGCUGAA